RNAcentral lists this long non-coding RNA (5816 nucleotides) under Brassica napus (rape). RNAcentral's name for it is "long non-coding RNA (BNAP_LNC005002)". The record is from RNAcentral. Lineage: Eukaryota; Viridiplantae; Streptophyta; Magnoliopsida; Brassicales; Brassicaceae.
UUAGCAUAUAUUAUAUUAUUAUGCUAAUGGUGGAUUAUAUUCUGCUGCUUAUCUUAUUUAUGUUCUUGUUGAGUCACUUGGGUUUCCACUGGGGAAUUCUCGAGUGAUGAUUAUUAUUGUUGUUAUUGUUAGGUGAACUCCUCGUCUUAGAUUGUUUGGGGCUGGGAUGGCGAGGGGUUGUAUUUGUUAGUUGGGGUCCUGGCUCACUGAGUGACAUUAGGUUACUCAUUAAACUCACCUAUUGUUGCAGGAAACCUUAGUGGGAGACCGGGUAGCAUGGAAGCUGGAUGUUAGGAGCACCGCAAGUACUUUUGCCUUUCCUAUUGUAAAACGGUACUACUUAAAUUCUUUGAAUCGAUAUUGGCACUAGGCCUGGAUCCAUCUGUAAUAUUUUACUUGUAACGAAUCUUUACUAUAUUUAAUAAAAGUGAUGUUUUAUAUUCGUUACAAUGGUUCUCUGAUAAAUAGACUUGUCUGGUCUAAACACAACGUUAGGUUUAGGUACGGGUUGAAAAGCCUUAGGCCGCGAUCUAACGGAACCGUUAACUCAUAGUACGGGUUGCAAAGCCUUAAGCCAUGAUUUAGCGGGACGUGUUAGGGGAUGAACUGGUCGAUGUUGCGGACGUGUUAGAGUACGGGUUGCAAAGCCUUAAGCCAUGAUUUAGCGGGACGUGUUAGGGGAUGAACUGGUCGAUGUUGCGGAUUAAGUUCUGUGACUUUGACUGGAUUGUCCCUAGCCCGUCAUGUAGCGCUUCCGGACCAUGCUGUUGGGUUGGACGGUCAGUCAUGUUCUUGUUUGAUUGUUGGCUGGCCGAUUGGCCUUUCAUCUCCAACCCUUGGUGUGGGUCGUCCGUCGGUCAUGUUCUUAUUUGAUUGUUGGCCGAUGGCUCGACCUAUGCCUAGGACGGUUCGGGGGUGUUACAGAGGUGGUAUCAGAGCAUGGUUUCGUCCAUGCUUUCAGAACCUGCGUUUUUAAUCGGUUUUCAAAUAUUUUAUCGAGUCAUAAAAUAUUUGAAAGGCAUUUAGAGUAUUCCGGUCACGUCCAGCCAUUCUGGGUAAGAAAUUUAGGAUUUACCUUUUCGUUGGUUGUAGAUGAAUAAUUGGGGUGCAAGUCAAGGUAGGCAGUGGGGAUGGUCGUCAAAAGAUGGUCGAGCAUUUGGGGAUUCAGAACAAGGGUUUUCUACAAGGGACAGAAUGGAUCACCGAGAUAUGAGUCAACGUUAUGGAAAUCAGUUUUCAAGAAGUCAGGACAUAGUCAAUCACCGUUGCCAGCAAGUUCAUAUUCAAAUGAACAACCAAGACGUAGAGGGAAUCAAGAGGCUGAAAUUCCACUGGGAAUUCUGGUAGAUUUGUUUACUCAAAUGCUAUGCCAAGUUUCAAGGAUUGCACAACCUGAGGAAUCCUUAAACAUGGAGUAUCUGAAGAUCUUGAAGACGAUGAAGGGCUUGGAAACAUAUAAGUUCAUAGGAGGAAUCAACACGUUUGAGGCAGAAGAGUGGAUGCACAUGAUGGAUAUAAACUUUGAAGCCAUGAUCUGUCCACAAAAAUACAAGAAGAGAGUGGCGGUUUACUAUCUACAAGGAGAUGCUCGUAACUGGUGGGAAAGCGUGGAACGUCAACAUGGAAAUCAUAUUACAUCUUGGGAUGUAUUUCAAAAGGAUUUCAGAAGGAAGUACUUCCCACCCGAGGCAAGACAUCGAUUGGAGAGGCAGUUCAUCAAUCUUACCCAAGGGGAUAGAAAAGUACAAGAAUAUAAAGCGGAAUUCACAAGUCUUCGUCGCUAUGUAUUUAACGGCCAAGACAACGAAGCAACAAUGAUCUGAAACUUCAUGUAUGGAUUGCGAUCUGAACUAGGUAGCAGAGUCGCGGUAGGCAACUAUGGAAAUCUCACAGACUUAGUCGAGAGGGCCGUAAAUGUGGAAGUUGCGGUAGGAGCAGAAGCCAAGUAUGAAUCAAAAAGAAAAGGCGUUAGUGGCCCGAAGGGAAAACAUAUAGUUCAGUUCAAGGAUUCCAGUCAGCAAGGCCUAUCUAGGAAAAGAAGCCAUGACUCAAAAUCUUGUGAUGGAAACCAAGGAUGUUUUUAUUGUGGAGAGGUUGGUCACAUUGCUCGACACUGCAUGGCAGAGAAAGUUGCAUUAGCAGAAGAACAUUCCCCACUUGCCCUACUGGAAGACAGACCCCCGAGAAAGAGAAGAAAUAGGAUCUAGAUCUUUAGAAAAACCUUAACCUUCAGACCUACAAGGUAAGUAAGGGUUUUAACUUCCUUGUUUGAGUGUUUAUUUUCCUGAUUGGUUCUGAUGUGUUGGGAAAAUAUUAGUUUUUUUAAUAGACGUUCUGUGCUUUUGCACGAGAACUUGUGGUUUGUGUUCUUGUUUUGUGUAGGAACGUUGUGGCAGGUAAUGACCCCCGAAGACCAAACCCUUGAAGAUUGGUGGCUAUGUUGGGUACAUGUUUGGUUCUGAGGAGAUAUCUAUCGAAAGGACAUGAUAGAUAUGGAAGACUUGAUCAUCACAAGAAAUCAAGUUGAAGAAGUGACUAAGUACGAGUAUGGUAUCAAUCGAGAGGACAAGAUAGUAUUAUACCGAAUGAGUGUUCCAGCAGAGUAGAGGCAGGAGGACGACUCGGUGAUCAUUCCAGUGAAAAGAUAUGAAGACAAUUGAGGAGACCUUGAGGAAGACACUCAAGGAACCGUUGUGGACAGCGUAAAGAUAUAUGGAGACGAGUUGAGAAUGUCGUAACAAUGAGCGAUUGCGCAACUAAGAAUUCGAGGACGAAUUCUAUUAAUGGGGGGGGGGGGGAAAAGAAUUGGAGGAUGAAUUCUAUUGGGGGGGGGGGAGAAUGUGAUAACCCGCCCUUCGGGAUAAGAAUGGUCGAGACAGAAGAUUGGUCGAACACCAACUUGGUGGUCGAAUCGCGGGCGAUAAAGAUCGAUCGGGAAAUUUUGAAGAACGAGGUGGUCGAAGAAUUGAUCGUGAGUUAACUAUUACUCGAAUAAGUUCCUCGACUAUAGUUAGAAGAUGUCUCAGAUUGAUCAGACGGAGGUUUUGGAAGCAUCACAUUUUUCAAGGACGAUGGUUUUAGAAGCUCGACGUUUUUGAAACCCGACGUUUCUUAACCACGAAGUAAUCCGCAAAACUUCAUAUUAGCGGAAUAUUAAUUCAGAGACAUCAUAAUUUGGGAGCAGGACAGAAAUUAAGCAUGACAGGAAGCAAGCACGACGGGGACGAAGCUAGACGGAAAAACCCGAAGUUACCAAAAUCCCUAAUUUAGGUAUUAUAGAAUUCUUCGAGGAAGCCGGAGGCUCGGUAAAUAUUACCGUCAAGGUUAUAAUGGAGUCUGGAGUUUAUUAAAAAUAUUCCGAACGUCAGAACGGGAGCAGGAAAAUAUUUGGGAUUAAUCGUGGGCCAAAAAUAUGCCGGAAGGGUCAAGAUCGCGUAAAUCGACCGAGAAGCUGGAGGCGUCUCAAUGCAUGUCAUCAGGACGUGGUGUCAACCAUAUGAUAAGCUGUCUGUCUACACAAGCACGAGGUGUCGGCACGCAUGGAAGCAGCACAUACGGACUGACACACAGAAGAACGAGAUGUCGCCAUAUCUGCAACCGCAGCAUGCUGAUCGACAUGUGGGCACCGUGUGUUGCCGUGCAUGUGAUCCAGACAUGCUGAUGAACAUCUAGUCGUCCAGGAAGGAUAAGAGGUAUCACUUUGCAUGAGCCCUGGCCAUGCUGAAAGACAUGUGGAGCACGAGGUCCCGCCGCGCAUGCAACCUGAGCCAUGUGAGCCGACACACGGGCUGCCACCGACCUGAAUCUGAUUGGCUGCUGUAUUCUAUAAAUAGGCACGCCCACCUUCACAUUUCAACACAUCCAGACAACUUUAGAUCAGUUUAAAAACGUGAAAGAAAGUAAAGAGAGAAAGCAAGAGGUUUCGAUAGUUUUCAAGAGUUUUCGGGAUCAGUUACUACACAAGUUUUGGAUCGACGCCUAUAGAAGUUUCUGUUUGAGUUGAGAGUUGUUCCAGGGAGGCCAUUCAAGGUUAGGCACGUUAUUGAGGUCAUUUGCGAUAGGAGGCCACUUGAGGUGUUCAAGAAAGGGUUUUGGUCGAGGAUUCGGGCAAGGGUCAAAGCCACAACGAACCAAACACUGUGAGUCACGGAAAUUGAUUGCUGACUUGUUUUCAUGCAGGUUCCUGUUACUUGGAAGUUGGAUCAUGGCAGGAGGCUGGGUCUAACUGAGUAACAGUUUGAUUAGUUAAUAGUCGAGGUUUGGUUGAUUGAGUUGAUAGCAUGCUUAGUUAUUGUUUGGGAAUCGUAGUAGCAUGCUAAUGGUUAGGUUGCUUGGUUAGUUAGCGAAUGCGAACCCUUAGAUAAUAUCGCUAGGUUGUGGUUAGAUAGGUAUUCUGGAAUCUAUCUUUGGUUGAUUGCAUGCUUGGAUGAUUAUUGCUAUUGCGUUAUUGUAUGUUUGCAUGCAGGGAUUGUGAUGAUGUUAUUGGUUAGUACUCUGGAAUUUAGGUCAUAUAGACCGAAUUUCAAGUAUGUAUUAUUAUGGUUGAGUUAGUAGAGGAUCGGGAUCUAGGCCAUAUAGGCUGAGUUCCUAGUUAGUGUUGUACUUAGCGUCCUAGGCCAUAUAGGCUGAGUUCCUAGUUAGUGUUGUACUUAGCGUCCUAGGCCAUAUAGGCCGGAUUGCUAGUACUAAUGUUUAGUAUCGAGCUUUGUCGAUAGCUUGCCUGAUCAGCAAUGCUAGGAUAAUACGCGGCAAGGAAGGUUACGUAAGCAUGUCCCUACGCGGCUUGGCAGAGAGGUUGCAUAAAGCAUGCUCUGUACGGGAAGGUUGCUAGAAAGCAUGCUCCGUCAUGUUGUAUCCUUGGUGGUGCUUCAUGUUAGUUUGCGGCAAGGAAGGUUGCUAGAGUAUGUCCCUACGUGGCUGGGCAGAGAGGUUGCAUAAAGCAUGCUCUGUACGGAGAGGUUGCUAGAAAGCCUGCUCUGUCAUUUGAUACCUUAUCGGGGUUACAUGUCAGUUAUGUUGGAUGUUCUAACCCGUGUGCUUUUGUGGCUGCGAGUUAGGUGUUCCAUGGUUGUGUAUAUGAUGAAAAAGCUCGAGUGAGGAUGUGUAGUGAAGGUGUAGAGAGUCUUAGCAUAUAUUAUAUUAUUAUGCUAAUGGUGGAUUAUAUUCUGCUUCUUAUCUUAUUUAUGUUCUUGUUGAGUCACUCGGGUUUUCACGGGGGAAGUCUCGAGUGAUGAUUAUUAUUGUUGUGUUAUUGUUAGGUGAACUCCUCGUCUUAGAUUGUUUGUGGUUGGGAUGGCGAGGGGUUGUAUUUGUUUGUUGGGGCCCUGGCUCACUGAGUGACAUUAGGUUACUCAUUAAACUCACUUAUUGUUGCAGGAAACCUUAGUGGGAGACCGGGUAGCAUGGAAGCUGGACGUUAGGAGCACCGGAAGUACUUUUGCCUUUCCUUUUGUAAAACGGUACUAGUUAAAGUCUUUGACUCGAUAUUGGCACUAGGCCUGGAUCCAUCUGUAAUAUUUUACUUGUAACGAAUCUUUAUUAUAUUUAAUAAAAGUGAUGUUUUAUAUUCGUUACAAUGGUUCUCUGAUAAAUAAACUUGUCCGGUCUAAACACAACGUUAGGUUUAAGUACGGGUUGAAAAGCCUUAGGCCACGAUCUAACGGAACCGUUAACUCAUAGUACGGGUUGCAAAGCCUUAAGCCAUGAUUUAGCGGGACGUGUUAGUGGAUGAACUAGUCGAUGUUGCGGAUUAAGUUCUGUGACUUUGACUGGAUUGUCCCUAGCCCGUCAUGUAGCGCUUCCGGACCAUGGUGUUG